Molecule: long non-coding RNA, 298 nt
Filed under: Elaeis guineensis (African oil palm)
Lineage: Eukaryota; Viridiplantae; Streptophyta; Magnoliopsida; Arecales; Arecaceae
Description: long non-coding RNA (EGUI_LNC064343)
Source: RNAcentral
UCACCCUCUUUCCCUCUUCUCUUUUUCACACCCAAGGGUUGGGCAUCCAUCUUCCACAUGCUUGAGUUGAGAAGAUUUUCUUCUACAGUAAGGAACAAAGAAGAAAAGGCUAUAAUUCAAGGAUUGAAGUUGCAGUCAAGAUCAAUAGUUGAUCAAGGUUCAAAGAGGCCAAGAUCUUACUUGAAGAAGAAGGAUCUACCAUGAGAAGAAAGAUUCAAGAUUGAUCCCAGUGGAUAUCUGUAGAGGCCAGACACAUGUGCGGCUCAAGGACCUUCGGAUUUAAUAUCAUCGGUAGCGA